RNAcentral lists this ribosomal RNA (252 nucleotides) under uncultured bacterium SY2-44. RNAcentral describes it as "partial 16S ribosomal RNA". It matches the Rfam family "Bacterial small subunit ribosomal RNA", at positions 8 to 252 of the family's 1533-position model. Lineage: Bacteria; Pseudomonadati; Verrucomicrobiota; Verrucomicrobiia; Verrucomicrobiales; Verrucomicrobiaceae. The record is from RNAcentral.
AGAGUUUGAUCCUGGCUCAGAACGAACGCUGGCGGCGUGGAUAAGACAUGCAAGUCGAACGGGAAUUCAUUUGUAGCAAUACCGAUGAAUUCUAGUGGCGAACGGGUGCGUAACACGUGAGCAAUCUGCCGGGAAGUGGGGGAUAGCUCGUCGAAAGGCGAAUUAAUACCGCAUAUGGCCAGGGGGGACAUCCUCCCGAAGCCAAAGUAGCAAUACGCUUCCUGAUGAGCUCGCGGCCUAUCAGCUAGUUGG